Molecule: ribosomal RNA, 556 nt
Filed under: uncultured bacterium
Lineage: Bacteria
Description: bacterial SSU rRNA
Rfam family: Bacterial small subunit ribosomal RNA
Source: RNAcentral
UGGCGAACGGGUGAGUAAUGCAUCGGAACGUGCCCGAUCGUGGGGGAUAACGCAGCGAAAGCUGCGCUAAUACCGCAUACGAUCUGAGGAUGAAAGCGGGGGACCUCAUAGCAAUAUGGGGCCUCGUGCGAUCGGAGCGGCCGAUGUCAGAUUAGGUAGUUGGUGAGGUAAAGGCUCACCAAGCCAACGAUCUGUAGCUGGUCUGAGAGGACGACCAGCCACACUGGGACUGAGACACGGCCCAGACUCCUACGGGAGGCAGCAGUGGGGAAUUUUGGACAAUGGGCGAAAGCCUGAUCCAGCAAUGCCGCGUGCAGGAAGAAGGCCUUCGGGUUGUAAACUGCUUUUGUACGGAGCGAAAAGGCUCCCUCUAAUACAGGGGGUCCAUGACGGUACCGUAGGAAUAAGCACCGGCUAACUACGUGCCAGCAGCCGCGGUAAUACGUAGGGUGCAAGCGUUAAUCGGAAUUACUGGGCGUAAAGCGUGCGCAGGCGGUUUUGUAAGACAGGCGUGAAAUCCCCGGGCUCAACCUGGGAAUGGCGCUUGUGACUGCAA